CACAAAGCAUUCAUACGAGGACUGACAGCAGUGACCGUUGUCAUCAUCACCACCUAGAACCACCUUCUUGUGUCAGUCUGCUCUUGAGCAAUCGAUUGUCGGUUACAGACCGGUUACAGCCUGAAGUCGCGUUUUUAAUAUACUGGUAAGAGCUAUGGAGACUCCUAGCCAAUACAAGAAGCUUGAGCGUUAUGUCCUCUCUGAACACCUGCUGCAACAGUACAGCUUCCCACGUCCCCACCCAACUGUUGAAGGCCAAGCAGUAAUAUCAAAUGCAAGAGACAAGUACACUCAGAUACCAAGUGAGUUGUCACGGAUAUGUAGAAGAUGUGAAGUUGUUUAUUCUGUCCAAAAAAAUGGCAAAAUUCUUACGCCUGAAGUCUGUCGAUACCAUUCUUACAGUAGAAACCCAGGACGUGUAUACAGAUGUUGCUAUGGAGGAUCCACAGCCAAGCCUUGCAAAAUUGCCCCACAACAUGUUCAUGGAUGCCUAGAUUUUAACAAUUUGACUGGGUUCCUUCUAACAAAAGACAACACUUCAGUGACAACUCGUGAAGCCUAUGCUGUAGACACAGAAAUGAUAUACACGGAUGGUGGUUUAGAAGUUGGAUGCUUGUCCAUUGUUAACAGUAAGUGUCAAGUGGUUUAUGAAACAAUGGUUGUCCCGGAUAAUCCCAUUGUGGAUUACAACACAGAGUUCUCAGGACUCAAGUCUUCAGAUUUCAAUGGAGUGACAACUACCAUGAAAGAUGUCCAUGAGAAACUGCAAAGCCUUUGGGGUCCCAACACCAUACUUGUAGGUCAUGGACUAGAAAGUGACUUGAUUAAACUGAGCGUGAUACAUGAUAAAGUUGUGGAUACCCGGGUAUUAUACCCACACAAGAAAGGUCUCCCAUUCAUGAACUCGCUGAAGAAUUUAAGGGAGAUAUAUUUACCCAAUAGAACAAAUGCAGCAGAUUCAUAUAAAUGUGGCAACGAUGCAUUUGCCGUCAUGGCGCUUGCUCUACGAAAGCCAUAAUUUAUGCAUCAAACCUGGUUCUAAAAGUAGCUCCAAACAAAAUGAAAUGUUAGGUACAUUUCAAGUAAAUGUCAUGGGAUUUUAAAUAUAUCAAGUACCAAUUAAUAGCCUUUAUAGCUUGUAUGAUUAUUAGAUUAGUGAUUAGCACAAAUGUAAUAGUGUAGUUGUAUACUGAAUUCUCGACUAAGGUACCAGAAAUAACUUCAAACAAAAUGAGAUAAAAUUUGUCAUGUUGUACACCAAAAUUAUGAUAAAAUUUCAAGUAAAUUU
Long non-coding RNA from Macrobrachium nipponense, 1288 nucleotides. RefSeq lists it as uncharacterized. Lineage: Eukaryota; Metazoa; Arthropoda; Malacostraca; Decapoda; Palaemonidae. The record is from RefSeq and is a predicted model, not a curated record. The transcript has 2 exons.